RNAcentral lists this ribosomal RNA (443 nucleotides) under uncultured Clostridium sp. RNAcentral describes it as "bacterial SSU rRNA". It matches the Rfam family "Bacterial small subunit ribosomal RNA", at positions 338 to 795 of the family's 1533-position model. The record is from RNAcentral. Lineage: Bacteria; Bacillati; Bacillota; Clostridia; Eubacteriales; Clostridiaceae.
CCUACGGGGGGCUGCAGUGGGGAAUAUUGCGCAAUGGGGGGAACCCUGACGCAGCAACGCCGCGUGAAGGAAGAAGGUCUUCGGAUUGUAAACUUCUUUGAUGAGGGACGAAGUAAGUGACGGUACCUCAAAAACAAGCCACGGCUAACUACGUGCCAGCAGCCGCGGUAAUACGUAGGUGGCGAGCGUUGUCCGGAAUUACUGGGUGUAAAGGGCGUGUAGGCGGGGAUGCAAGUCAGAUGUGAAAUACCGAGGCUUAACCUCGGGGCUGCAUCUGAAACUGUGUUUCUUGAGUGUCGGAGAGGAAAGCGGAAUUCCUGGUGUAGCGGUGAAAUGCGUAGAGAUCAGGAGGAACACCGGUGGCGAAGGCGGCUUUCUGGACGACAACUGACGCUGAGGCGCGAAAGCGUGGGGAGCAAACAGGAUUAGAUACCCCUGUAGUC